Molecule: ribosomal RNA, 938 nt
Filed under: uncultured bacterium
Lineage: Bacteria
Also listed under: 1 other name
Description: bacterial SSU rRNA
Rfam family: Bacterial small subunit ribosomal RNA
Source: RNAcentral
UGGAUCCAGACUUUGAUUAUGGCUCAGGACGAACGCUGGCGGCGUGCUUAACACAUGCAAGUCGAACGAGAAGAAAUGAGAAGCUUGCUUCUUAUUGAUUCGAGUGGCAAACGGGUGAGUAACGCGUAAGCAACCUGCCCUCUAGAUGGGGACAACAGCUGGAAACGGCUGCUAAUACCGAAUACGUUUUUUCUGUCGCAUGGCAGAGAGAAGAAAGGGAGGCUCUUCGGAGCUUUCGCUGGAGGAGGGGCUUGCGUCUGAUUAGCUAGUUGGGGGGGGUAACGGCCCACCAAGGCGACGAUCAGUAGCCGGUCUGAGAGGAUGAACGGCCACAUUGGGACUGAGACACGGCCCAGACUCCUACGGGAGGCAGCAGUGGGGAAUCUUCCGCAAUGGACGGAAGUCUGACGGAGCAACGCCGCGUGAACGAUGACGGACUUCGGGUUGUAAAGUUCUGUUAUACGGGACGAAUGGUACGACGGUCAAUACCCGUCGUAAGUGACGGUACCGUAAGAGAAAGCCACGGCUAACUACGUGCCAGCAGCCGCGGUAAUACGUAGGUGGCAAGCGUUGUCCGGAAUUAUUGGGCGUAAAGGGCGCGCAGGCGGCGUCGUAAGUCGGUCUUAAAAGUGCGGGGCUUAACCCCGUGAGGGGACCGAAACUGCGAUGCUAGAGUAUCGGAGAGGAAAGCGGAAUUCCUAGUGUAGCGGUGAAAUGCGUAGAUAUUAGGAGGAACACCAGUGGCGAAAGCGGCUUUCUGGACGACAACUGACGCUGAGGCGCGAAAGCCAGGGGAGCAAACGGGGUUAGAUACCCCGGUAGUCCUGGCCGUAAACGAUGGAUACUAGGUGUAGGAGGUAUCGACCCCUUCUGUGCCGGAGUUAACGCAAUAAGUAUCCCGCCUGGGGAGUACGGCCGCAAGGCUGCAACUCAAAGGA